AGUGAACGCUGGCGGUAGGCCUAACACAUGCAAGUCGAACGGCAGCACAGGAGAGCUUGCUCUCUGGGUGGCGAGUGGCGGACGGGUGAGGAAUACAUCGGAAUCUACUUUUUCGUGGGGGAUAACGUAGGGAAACUUACGCUAAUACCGCAUACGACCUACGGGUGAAAGCAGGGGAUCUUCGGACCUUGCGCGAUUGAAUGAGCCGAUGUCGGAUUAGCUAGUUGGCGGGGUAAAGGCCCACCAAGGCGACGACCCGUAGCUGGUCUGCGAGGAUGAUCAGCCACACUGGAACUGAGACACGGUCCAGACUCCUACGGGAGGCAGCAGUGGGGAAUAUUGGACAAUGGGCGCAAGCCUGAUCCAGCCAUACCGCGUGGGUGAAGAAGGCCUUCGGGUUGUAAAGCCCUUUUGUUGGGAAAGAAAUCCAGCUGGUUAAUACCCGGUUGGGGUGACGGUACCCAAAGAAUAAGCACCGGCUAACUUCGUGCCAGCAGCCGCCGCGG
Molecule: ribosomal RNA, 506 nt
Filed under: uncultured bacterium
Lineage: Bacteria
Description: partial 16S ribosomal RNA
Rfam family: Bacterial small subunit ribosomal RNA
Source: RNAcentral